This 269-nucleotide ribosomal RNA is filed under the name uncultured Lactobacillus sp. RNAcentral's name for it is "partial 16S ribosomal RNA". It matches the Rfam family "Bacterial small subunit ribosomal RNA", at positions 72 to 339 of the family's 1533-position model. The record is from RNAcentral. Lineage: Bacteria; Bacillati; Bacillota; Bacilli; Lactobacillales; Lactobacillaceae.
AUUUCAACAAUGAAGCGAGUGGCGAACUGGUGAGUAACACGUGGGGAAUCUGCCCAGAAGCAGGGGAUAACACUUGGAAACAGAUGCUAAUACCGCAUAACAACUUGGACCGCAUGGUCCGAGCUUGAAAGAUGGCUUCGGCUAUCACUUCUGGAUGGUCCCGCGGCGUAUUAGUUAGUUGGUGAGGUAAAGGCCCACCAAGACGAUGAUACGUAGCCGACCUGAGAGGGUAAUCGGCCACAUUGGGACUGAGACACGGCCCAAACUCC